Pelodiscus sinensis (Chinese soft-shelled turtle) is the source of this 560-nucleotide non-coding RNA. Lineage: Eukaryota; Metazoa; Chordata; Testudines; Trionychidae. The record is from RefSeq and is a predicted model, not a curated record.
CACAGGCUUCUGUUCUCCUCCCAGGGAUUGCCCCCCAGCAUACCACCAGGUUAGGCCAAGUCAUCACUUCCCUAAAGAUGGGUACUGCAGCAGUCAAUCUUCUGCAGUUUGAUUUACCCAGUCUAGUAAAGACCUGCUAAACCCAGCACUGAGGCACCUGUUGGUGCUGGCCCUGGUAUUCCCGCUCCUCCUCGCAUUUCUCCCGUCAACCUCCCACUGUGAGAAUGUCACCAAAGCUUGGCAUCGACUCCAGAUACAUUUUUUACACAGCUGGAAUUGGGUACCUUAAGCUGACCUUUCCUCGUAGUGUGGACCUGGCCCUCGAAUCACCUUUCAGUAUUUCAUAGCCUGCAUACUGAGGCACCAUCAUUUUCUGCACUUAAUUGCUUUGGGAUCCGUUCCUGUAGGGAAUAAUUUCUUGGACACACUGGGUACAGGUGAAAACAAGCAGAGGAUUUAUUGGUUCACACAGCUGGUGGAGUAUUCAUCAGGGGUUAAUCCGAUGGAAGAUAACGGGAUGAAACAACUGCACGAAUUGGUAUGUGACCAAAGCCCGAGAU